UAGCAUAUCAAUAAGCGGAGGAAAAGAAAAUAACAAUGAUUCCCCCAGUAACGGCGAGUGAAGAGGGAAGAGCCCAAAUUUGGAAUCUGGCGUCUUUCAGGCGUCCGAGUUGUAAUCUGGAGAGGCCAUAUUCGUGUCGGACCGUAGCAAAGUCUGCUAUUAUGCAGCGCCAGAGAGGGUGUUAGCCCCGUUUGUACUAUGGAUCCCCGAUGCUUAGAGUAGGUCUUCAAAGAGUCGAGUUGUUUGGGAAUGCAGCUCUAAGAGGGUGGUAAAUUCCAUCUAAGGCUAAAUAACGGCGAGAGACCGAUAGCGCACAAGUACCGUGAGGGACAGAUGAAAAGCACUUUGGAAAGAGGGUGAAAAAGUACGUGAAAUCACUGAAAGGGAAGCGCUUGAGGUUAGACGUGCAUUGUAUGAUUCAGCCAAUCUUUGGAGAGGUGUAUUUCGUACUAUUGCAGGCCAGCGUCAGUUUUGUGUGCUGGAUAAGGGUAUAGGGAAUGUAGCAGUAGCUUCGGCUGCUGUAUUAUAGACCUUUACUGGAUACAGCAUGCGGGACUGAGGAACGCAGCGUGCCUUUAUGGCCAAUCCUGCGGGAUUGUGUACGCUUAGGAUGCUGGCAUUAAUAGCCUUAAACGACCCGUCUUGAAACACGGACCAAGGAGUCUAACAUGCUUGCAAGUAUGUGGGUGUCAAGCCCUUGUGCGUAAUGAAAGUAAACGUAGGUGGGAGCCCUUCGCGGGGUGCACCAUCGACCGGCUUGAAACUACGUGUGAAAAGUCUGAGUAGGAGCAAGUAUGUCGGGACCCGAAAGAUGGUGAACUAUGCCUGAAUAGGGUGAAGCCAGAGGAAACUCUGGUGGAGGCUCGUAGCGGUUCUGACGUGCAAAUCGAUCGUCGAAUUUGGGUAUAGGGGCGAAAGACUAAUCGAACCAUCUAGUAGCUGGUUCCUG
Molecule: ribosomal RNA, 949 nt
Filed under: Tritirachium oryzae
Lineage: Eukaryota; Fungi; Basidiomycota; Tritirachiomycetes; Tritirachiales; Tritirachiaceae
Description: LSU rRNA
Rfam family: Eukaryotic large subunit ribosomal RNA
Source: RNAcentral